GUACUCUACCUUCUCUUUAUCUCAUACAAAUUUUUCGCCUUUUACCAAAGAUUUCAGUAGAGAAGGCCCUUUCUCACUAUCAACCCAAGCAAUUUUAACCUUUACUUUGGCUACAGCAGAAAG
Small nuclear RNA from Nothoprocta perdicaria, 123 nucleotides. RefSeq annotates it as U5 spliceosomal RNA. The record is from RefSeq and is a predicted model, not a curated record. NCBI's taxonomy places the organism in Eukaryota, Metazoa, Chordata, Aves, Tinamiformes, Tinamidae. The transcript has a single exon.